Molecule: ribosomal RNA, 253 nt
Filed under: uncultured bacterium
Lineage: Bacteria
Description: partial 16S ribosomal RNA
Rfam family: Bacterial small subunit ribosomal RNA
Source: RNAcentral
UACGUAGGGUGCGAGCGUUAAUCGGAAUUACUGGGCGUAAAGCGUGCGCAGGCGGCUCCGCAAGUCAGACGUGAAAUCCCCGGGCUUAACCUGGGAAUGGCGUUUGAAACUACGGAGCUGGAGUAUGGCAGAGGGGGGUGGAAUUCCACGUGUAGCGGUGAAAUGCGUAGAUAUGUGGAGGAACACCGAUGGCGAAGGCAGGUCUCUGGGCAUUAACUGACGCUGAGGAGCGAAAGCAUGGGGAGCGAACAGG